This 253-nucleotide ribosomal RNA is filed under the name uncultured bacterium. Its description in RNAcentral is "partial 16S ribosomal RNA". It matches the Rfam family "Bacterial small subunit ribosomal RNA", at positions 524 to 776 of the family's 1533-position model. The record is from RNAcentral.
UACGAAGGGGGCUAGCGUUGCUCGGAAUCACUGGGCGUAAAGGGUGCGUAGGCGGGUCUUUAAGUCAGGGGUGAAAUCCUGGAGCUCAACUCCAGAACUGCCUUCGAUACUGACGAUCUCGAGUCCGGGAGAGGUGAGUGGAACUCCGAGUGUAGAGGUGAAAUUCGUAGAUAUUCGGAAGAACACCAGUGGCGAAGGCGGCUCACUGGCCCGGUACUGACGCUGAGGUGCGAAAGCGUGGGGAGCAAACAGG